Molecule: long non-coding RNA, 782 nt
Organism: Polypterus senegalus (gray bichir)
Lineage: Eukaryota; Metazoa; Chordata; Cladistia; Polypteriformes; Polypteridae
Exons: 3
Source: RefSeq, a predicted model, not a curated record
UGAACAAAAACCUCAACUCAGUACCCACCUGCAGUGCUGCUUCUGCCAUUACAGGCUGUGCUUUGAUGAGAAGUUACUGAAGGGUGAACAAGAGACUGACGACUAAAAGAGAAAUUGCUGAGUUUAUGUUCUCAAUACCAUAAACUGGCAGUACUGGACACCAGUGGCUCAUGUGAUUUCAAACUCCAUUUGGUCAGGUCUCUGAGUAAAUUAAGGAGGCUGCCUCAGAGUUUGCUGGGGAGGGAUGCACUCUAAAUUCCUGACACCGAAUUUAACCUGCUGGCCAUCAGAUACCUUAUUCCUCGUUGCCCUGCUCAAGUCUACAUUUGACACAUUUACUCAAGGGAGCGGUAGAGAAAAAUAGAACAGAAAACAUUCAACAAAGUAUAGUCAUACAUGCCUGAAAGGUUUGGGGUGGCAGCUGGUCUAGGUCAUAUUCUACCUUUGAAACCCACAAAUUGAGACUUUGAAAGUAAGGCACGGAUGCGACUCCACAUGGAACCAAAUGCACAGGUUUACACUACUUGUGGUUGUGAGGGUCUGAGCCUAACCCCUGGUUGUGAACGCUGUGCUCAUACAUUUUCAUUCCUACUUAAAGCAGUAGAUGGGCUGUUAUUUCUUUUACAUUUAAGAGCGGCUGUUUUAAAGGUCAACAAUGGAAAAGGCGUGGAAGGGAAACAUGGAAGAACACAGUCAGGAAUUCCAAUCAAUGAGCAUAGAAAGCAUGGAUGGAGCUCCACUACAACUAAAUAAGUACAACAUUGAAGCAGAGACUAAAGAGA